Astatotilapia calliptera (eastern happy) is the source of this 537-nucleotide long non-coding RNA. The record is from Ensembl. NCBI's taxonomy places the organism in Eukaryota, Metazoa, Chordata, Actinopteri, Cichliformes, Cichlidae.
CUGACCUCUGUCAUCAUUUUAAGUGGGGGAACUUGCACAAUCGGUGGCUGACUAAAUACUUUUUUGCCCCACUGUAAGUGUUGGUUCCCUGAGCCUCUGAUUACAUUUCUUGACAAUCAAGGAAGUGAAAUUAGUGCUGAAGACCCAAGGAGAAGUGAGGAAUCUCCAGGGUGUCUCACAAUCACAAGAAGAGUGACUCUGCAGACUGCUACAAAAAGAGUCACCUGCAGAGUCCACCAUCCGGAGAUAACCCAGACCAGGAACUCAGAAAUGUACAUACCAGGUGAAAGCCUGAGAUCCUGCACUGACAUCCUUCGCUGUUGUCGUGAGGAUCUUUGUAACAGCAGUCAUUGCCUUUUUAGUCAAGAAAUGUCAGCGUUAUGUGAGAAGACAAAAAUCAGGCCUUGAGAAAGAUAAGAUGAGUUGUGUUCAACAGUCUAGCCAGCCCUCGGGAUCAUCACAAAGCACCCCAAACCCUGUUAUCCCACCCCCAGCAAAGUCUCCCCACACCAUCAGCCACCUGAAACCGGAGGCUUC